AUGGCUCAGAUUGAACGCUGGCGGCAGGCUUAACACAUGCAAGUCGAACGGUAGCGGGAAGAAAGCUUGCUUUCUUUGCCGACGAGUGGCGGACGGGUGAGUAAUGCUU
This 109-nucleotide ribosomal RNA is filed under the name Basfia succiniciproducens. RNAcentral's name for it is "16S rRNA. Bacterial SSU". It matches the Rfam family "Bacterial small subunit ribosomal RNA", at positions 19 to 118 of the family's 1533-position model. Lineage: Bacteria; Pseudomonadati; Pseudomonadota; Gammaproteobacteria; Pasteurellales; Pasteurellaceae. The record is from RNAcentral.